Molecule: ribosomal RNA, 119 nt
Filed under: Pteropus alecto (black flying fox)
Lineage: Eukaryota; Metazoa; Chordata; Mammalia; Chiroptera; Pteropodidae
Source: RNAcentral
GUCUACGGCCAUGCUACCCUGAACAAGCCCGAUCCCAUCUGAUCUCAGAAGCUAAGCAGGGUCGGGCCUGGUUAGUACGUGGAUAGGAGACCACCUAGGAAGACCAGGUGCUGUAGGCG